UCCAAAUUUAGUGAUUAACACUACAUGCUUAAUUGACCGGGUCGUCCACUAUAUUAAAUUAGCUUGUUUUUGUUUGAUAGGCCACUAUCUGUAUUUGAUAAGUCAUAUAAGGCAACGUGACCCAGCUUUAUGUCACAAAAAGUACAAAUAUGUGUUAAAUGUGAUAAACUCAACGUAAAACCAAUCCAUGAUCUUAAUCUUUAAUUAAUCUGCAAGAGAGCAGAGAUUAUGUGUGCCUACACAUUUGUAUUUCAAUAACUUAAAGUUAAAUAAUGCAGUAAAUGUACAGCGUUUUGUAUGAUAUAUGUUUACCCAAAGCUUAACAAAACCGAUCAUUUAUGUUAAAGUGCUAUAAGGGCCGUUAGCUAAACAAACCAUUCGAUUCAUAUUAAUAUGUCGCUAAAGGCAUAAGCAGGCAUGGAUAACAUGCCGGCGUUUUCUAUAAAUACUGUCAAAAAAUAAAGAUUAUUGCAGUGAACACAUACCUCCUACGUGUGACAGAAGAUUAGACUUCUACAGUUCAUCAUGAAAGCAGCAUUCUUAUGUAUCAUGGUUGUUUCUGUCGUCGUUUCUGUGGCGAUAGCUUACAAGGAGCCUUGUAUCAACAAUGGGCAGGAAUACGCCCACGAGGUUGUGUUCCUUGACGCCGACUGUAACAAGUGCCAAUGUAAUGAUGGCAAUACAGUUUGCGAGAUGAAUGCGUAAGGAUGUCCUGAAGUGUGCGAGUACAACGGCAAACGGUACAAAGCAGGCGAAAGUUUCCCGGAUGACGACGGCUGCAACACGUGUAACUGCCACAGGGGUGGUGCAGUAGCUUGCACCCUCAUGUUCUGUUUAGGCACCCCCAUCCCGUUGAAAUGAUGAUCACAUCCACGCAUUGGUUAGCAUCCGAUAUAAUUGAGCUGCAAAGCACUUAUGGUUGAAUGUAUUCAAUUGAAAGCCGUAUGAUUAU
This is a long non-coding RNA of Dreissena polymorpha, 952 nucleotides long. RefSeq lists it as uncharacterized. The transcript has 4 exons. Lineage: Eukaryota; Metazoa; Mollusca; Bivalvia; Myida; Dreissenidae. The record is from RefSeq and is a predicted model, not a curated record.